This 2937-nucleotide ribosomal RNA is filed under the name Escherichia coli. RNAcentral's name for it is "bacterial LSU rRNA". It matches the Rfam family "Bacterial large subunit ribosomal RNA". The record is from RNAcentral. Lineage: Bacteria; Pseudomonadati; Pseudomonadota; Gammaproteobacteria; Enterobacterales; Enterobacteriaceae.
GGGUUGUGAGGUUAAGCGACUAAGCGUACACGGUGGAUGCCCUGGCAGUCAGAGGCGAUGAAGGACGUGCUAAUCUGCGAUAAGCGUCGGUAAGGUGAUAUGAACCGUUAUAACCGGCGAUUUCCGAAUGGGGAAACCCAGUGUGAUUCGUCACACUAUCAUUAACUGAAUCCAUAGGUUAAUGAGGCGAACCGGGGGAACUGAAACAUCUAAGUACCCCGAGGAAAAGAAAUCAACCGAGAUUCCCCCAGUAGCGGCGAGCGAACGGGGAGCAGCCCAGAGCCUGAAUCAGUGUGUGUGUUAGUGGAAGCGUCUGGAAAGGCGCGCGAUACAGGGUGACAGCCCCGUACACAAAAAUGCACAUGCUGUGAGCUCGAUGAGUAGGGCGGGACACGUGGUAUCCUGUCUGAAUAUGGGGGGACCAUCCUCCAAGGCUAAAUACUCCUGACUGACCGAUAGUGAACCAGUACCGUGAGGGAAAGGCGAAAAGAACCCCGGCGAGGGGAGUGAAAAAGAACCUGAAACCGUGUACGUACAAGCAGUGGGAGCACGCUUCGGCGUGUGACUGCGUACCUUUUGUAUAAUGGGUCAGCGACUUAUAUUCUGUAGCAAGGUUAACCGAAUAGGGGAGCCGAAGGGAAACCGAGUCUUAACUGGGCGUUAAGUUGCAGGGUAUAGACCCGAAACCCCGGUGAUCUAGCCAUGGGCAGGUUGAAGGUUGGGUAACACUAACUGGAGGACCGAACCGACUAAUGUUGAAAAAUUAGCGGAUGACUUGUGGCUGGGGGUGAAAGGCCAAUCAAACCGGGAGAUAGCUGGUUCUCCCCGAAAGCUAUUUAGGUAGCGCCUCGUGAAUUCAUCUCCGGGGGUAGAGCACUGUUUCGGCAAGGGGGUCAUCCCGACUUACCAACCCGAUGCAAACUGCGAAUACCGGAGAAUGUUAUCACGGGAGACACACGGCGGGUGCUAACGUCCGUCGUGAAGAGGGAAACAACCCAGACCGCCAGCUAAGGUCCCAAAGUCAUGGUUAAGUGGGAAACGAUGUGGGAAGGCCCAGACAGCCAGGAUGUUGGCUUAGAAGCAGCCAUCAUUUAAAGAAAGCGUAAUAGCUCACUGGUCGAGUCGGCCUGCGCGGAAGAUGUAACGGGGCUAAACCAUGCACCGAAGCUGCGGCAGCGACACUAUGUGUUGUUGGGUAGGGGAGCGUUUCUGUAAGCCUGCGAAGGUGGCCUGUGAGGGUUGCUGGAGGUAUCAGAAGUGCGAAUGCUGACAUAAGUAACGAUAAAGCGGGUGAAAAGCCCGCUCGCCGGAAGACCAAGGGUUCCUGUCCAACGUUAAUCGGGGGCAGGGUGAGUCGACCCCUAAGGCGAGGCCCGAAAGGCGUAGUCGAUGGGAAACAGGUUAAUCAUUCCUGUACUUGGUGUUACUGCGAAGGGGGGACGGAGAAGGCUAUGUUGGCCGGGCGACGGUUGUCCCGGUUUAAGCGUGUAGGCUGGUUUUCCAGGCAAAUCCGGAAAAUCAAGGCUGAGGCGUGAUGACGAGGCACUACGGUGCUGAAGCAACAAAUGCCGCUGCUUCCAGGAAAAGCCUCUAAGCAUCAGGUAACAUCAAAUCGUACCCCAAACCGACACAGGUGGUCAGGUAGAGGAAUACCAAGGCGCUUGAGAGAACUCGGGUGAAGGAACUAGGCAAAAUGGUGCCGUAACUUCGGGAGAAGGCACGCUGAUACGUAGGUGAAGUCCCCUCCGCGGAUGGAGCUGAAAUCAGUCCGAAGAUACCAGGCUGGCUGCAACUGUUUAUUAAAAACACAGCACUGUGCAAACACGAAAGUGGACGUAUACGGUGUGACGCCUGCCCGGUGCCGGAAGGUUAAUUGAUGGGGUUAGCGGUAACGCGAAGCUCUUGAUCGAAGCCCCGGUAAACGGCGGCCGUAACUAUAACGGUCCUAAGGUAGCGAAAUUCCUUGUCGGGUAAGUUCCGACCUGCACGAAUGGCGUAAUGAUGGCCAGGCUGUCUCCACCCGAGACUCAGUGAAAUUGAACUCGCUGUGAAGAUGCAGUGUACCCGCGGCAAGACGGAAAGACCCCGUGAACCUUUACUAUAGCUUGACACUGAACAUUGAGCCUUGAUGUGUAGGAUAGGUGGGAGGCUUUGAAGUGUGGACGCCAGUCUGCAUGGAGCCGACCUUGAAAUACCACCCUUUAAUGUUUGAUGUUCUAACGUUGACCCGUUAUCCGGGUUGCGGACAGUGUCUGGUGGGUAGUUUGACUGGGGCGGUCUCCUCCUAAAGAGUAACGGAGGAGCACGAAGGUUGGCUAAUCCUGGUCGGACAUCAGGAGGUUAGUGCAAUGGCAUAAGCCAGCUUGACUGCGAGCGUGACGGCGCGAGCAGGUGCGAAAGCAGGUCAUAGUGAUCCGGUGGUUCUGAAUGGAAGGGCCAUCGCUCAACGGAUAAAAGGUACUCCGGGGAUAACAGGCUGAUACCGCCCAAGAGUUCAUAUCGACGGCGGUGUUUGGCACCUCGAUGUCGGCUCAUCACAUCCUGGGGCUGAAGUAGGUCCCAAGGGUAUGGCUGUUCGCCAUUUAAAGUGGUACGCGAGCUGGGUUUAGAACGUCGUGAGACAGUUCGGUCCCUAUCUGCCGUGGGCGCUGGAGAACUGAGGGGGGCUGCUCCUAGUACGAGAGGACCGGAGUGGACGCAUCACUGGUGUUCGGGUUGUCAUGCCAAUGGCACUGCCCGGUAGCUAAAUGCGGAAGAGAUAAGUGCUGAAAGCAUCUAAGCACGAAACUUGCCCCGAGAUGAGUUCUCCCUGACUCCCUGAGAGUCCUGAAGGAACGUUGAAGACGACGACGUUGAUAGGCCGGGUGUGUAAGCGCAGCGAUGCGUUGAGCUAACCGGUACUAAUGAACCGUGAGGCUUAACCUUACAACGCCGAAG